UUCGCACCAUCCCCCACAUUUUGGGCCCUGGUGGUCGGUGUCGCUAUUUUCGGGCUCCCGUGACCUAGCACACAUUAUUUAUGGCCGAAAACACGUUCGGAGGUUAUUUUUGCCUCUUCGGUCCAUUCCCACGUUUUCGACCCUGGUGGCCGGUAUCGCUGUUUUCGGGCUCCUUAGACCUAUAGCUUAAAUUUUCAUGGCCAAAACGCGUUCGGUGGCCAUUUUCCCGUCUU
This 233-nucleotide long non-coding RNA is filed under the name Setaria viridis. Its description in RNAcentral is "long non-coding RNA (SVIR_LNC005809)". Lineage: Eukaryota; Viridiplantae; Streptophyta; Magnoliopsida; Poales; Poaceae. The record is from RNAcentral.